UAUCCAGCAGCCAAACCUCAGU
This 22-nucleotide microRNA is filed under the name Sarcophilus harrisii (Tasmanian devil). RNAcentral's name for it is "Sha-Novel-22-P5-v2_3p* (star (passenger))". The record is from RNAcentral. Lineage: Eukaryota; Metazoa; Chordata; Mammalia; Dasyuromorphia; Dasyuridae.